UGCUGGGAUUAUAGGCGUGAGCCACUGCUGGUUGGCAUCUUUUUCAAAUAGAGGGCUGUUUCAUCUACACUGAAAAUCUGUCGUUUAGUAUAGCCAGUUUCAUUAAUUAUCAUAGCUAGAUCUUCUGGAUAACUUGCUCCAGCUUCUCCAUCAGCACUUGCUGCUUCACCUUGCAUUUUUAUGUUUUGGAGACAGGUUCUUUCCUUGAACGUCACAGACCAAUUUCUACUACCUUCCAACUUUUCUUCUGCAGCUUCCUGACCUCUCUCAGUCUUCAUAGAACUGAACAGAUUUAGGGCCUUGCUCUAGGUCAGGCCUUGGAUUAAGGGAAUGUUGUGGCUGGUUUGAUCUUCUAUCAAGACCACUAAAACUUUCUCCAUAUCAACAGCAGUAAGGCUGUUUUGCUCGCCUUAUCAUUUAUGUGUUCACUGGAGCAGCACUUUUAAUUUCCUUCAAGAAUAUUUCCUUCACAUUUACAAAUUGUCAACUGUUUGGUGCAAGAGGCUUAGCUUUCAUCCUGUCUUGGCUUUGGAUAUUCUCUUCUCAUUAAGGUUGGCUAAUAUCAACUGAUUUCAAUGUGGUGUGUUUCAGGGAAUAGGGAGGCCCAAGGAAAGGGAGAGAGAUGAGAAAUGGCCAGUUGGAGAAGCAGUCAGAACACAUAGCACAUAGCACAUCGAUAGAUUAAGUUUACCAUCUUAUAUGGGUGUGUUUCAUGGUGCCUCAAAACAAUGACAACAGUAACAUCAAAGAUCAUUGAUCACAGAUUACCUUAACAGACAUAACAAUGAAAAAGUUUAAAAUAUUAUGAGAAUUACCCAAAUGUGACAUACAGGCAUGAAAUGAGCACAGGCUGUUGGAAAAAAAUGGUGCUGAAAGAUUUGCUUGACAUAGGAUUGCCACAAACCUUCAAUAUGUAAAAACAGAAAACAAAACAAAACAAAAAAACACAGUGUCUGUGAAGUGCAAUAAAGUGAAGCACAGUAAGAUGAGGUAUGCCUGCACUGUAUUCACAGGCAGGGUCAUUAAAGAGACAACGAAGUUCAAAUAAGGUCAUUAAGAUGGGCCUUAAUCCAAUUGACUGGUGUCCCAAUCAGAAAAGGGGAUUGGGACACAGACAUGGACAAAAGGAAGACCAUGUGAAGACACCCAGGGAGAAUAUGGCCAUCUACACGCCAAGGAGAGAGGUGGCAGAAGAAACCAGCUCUGACGACACUGUGAUCUGGAACGUGUAACCUCUGAAACGGGCCAGUGCAUAUGAGUGGACAACACUUAGUAGCUGUGGAGGAAGCUGCAGAGUCAGAAGACAAAGAGGAGGAGGAUGGGAAACUCUUAAGUAUAUCUGGAAAUCGAUCUGCCCUGCAGGUGGUAGCAAGUUUCCACAGAAAAAAGUAAAACGUGCUGCUGACAAAGAUGAUGAUGAUGAAGAAGGUGAUAAUGAUGAUGAUUUUGCUGAAGAGGAAACUGAAGAAAAAUCUUCAGUGAAGAAAUCUACAGGAGGUAUUUCAACCCAAAAUGCAAAACAACAAAACCAGAAUGGAAAAGACUCAAAACCAUCAACAUGAGAUUAAAAGGUCAAGAAUCCUUCAAAGCACAAGAAAAAACUUUUAAAACACCAAAAGGACUUAGUUCU
This is a long non-coding RNA of Cercocebus atys (sooty mangabey), 1630 nucleotides long. RefSeq lists it as uncharacterized. The transcript is spliced from 2 exons. The record is from RefSeq and is a predicted model, not a curated record. Lineage: Eukaryota; Metazoa; Chordata; Mammalia; Primates; Cercopithecidae.